This 962-nucleotide long non-coding RNA is filed under the name Neogobius melanostomus (round goby). RNAcentral's name for it is "lncRNA (ENSNMLG00000019069.1)". The record is from RNAcentral. Lineage: Eukaryota; Metazoa; Chordata; Actinopteri; Gobiiformes; Gobiidae.
CCAACACUAGACAAUGGCGACACACACACGGCAUCAACACCUAAAUGGCAAAGAACAGCACAAGCAUGUGAUCCGGGCUGGCGCCUGGGAGAGGAUUUCUCACUACCAUCUCCAGAAAUCCCACCAGACCAACCCCCCAGCCCACCUUUGUGCCCCCCACCAUCUUAUAUCAAGGCCAUCCUCAAGAGUGGGAAAUCUCAGACGGUCCAGACUGCAUUCAUCAGACUGCACCGCACUACCCCUGCAUUUAUACUGGUGCCCGUAACGCCUCAACAUAAACGCCACAUACCCCCUCUCUCACCAGGUCAGUACGGCAUUACAAAUCUACCCACAUUCGACAACACAUACUUAUUGUUAUCCCUUCAUUGUGCAGUGAAUGGGGCAACAGCACCAGUCCAGCCCAGCUCCUCUCCAUCAGGAUCACUGUCGGACAUCCCUCCUGUCUGUCCAUCUCCUCGGCCCAUUGAAAUAAGUCCAAUCAAAGAGCCGCGUUCUUGCCAUACAGCGGACUUUCCACGUAAGUCACUGAUAAUGACAAUUUUGUGCUUGUCUUGUCUUUUGUCUAUUAAAAAUGUACAACCUAUUGACAUAUUAUCAACAUUGCUCUGGGGCAAUGGUAGAUUACCAGUUUCAGUACACUGACAACCUGCAGUGUCUUAGGUAGUAGAAUACAAUAUUAUUGCCCAACUUCUCUGUCUCUUCCUUUUCCAGAGUCGGUAAAGGAUUACAUUCAGGAAACUAAAGUGUACAUAAGCCACACCUGUGAUGACUUAGGAGAUGGACUGACCGUAACCUCAAACUAUGUGGAUACAAAAGUGCUCCAACUGGACAAUGUCCGAUCAGCAAAGAGGGUAAAUAAGAGUUUGGACAAAGAGCUGGAUGUGAUGGGAGAGACGGUCAGGAAGCAACACGUGGUCGCCCUGGACCAGGUAAGAAUUUACCCAGUAGUAACAUCAUGACAU